GGAGGGUAUAGCUCAGUGGUAGAGCUCAUGCUUAGCAUGUAUGAGGUCCUGGGUUCAAUCCCCAGUACCUCCA
RNAcentral lists this transfer RNA (73 nucleotides) under Vicugna pacos (alpaca). RNAcentral describes it as "tRNA-Ala (AGC) (tRNA-Ala-AGC-84-1)". It matches the Rfam family "tRNA". From Rfam's summary of the family: Transfer RNA (tRNA) molecules are approximately 80 nucleotides in length. Their secondary structure includes four short double-helical elements and three loops (D, anti-codon, and T loops). Lineage: Eukaryota; Metazoa; Chordata; Mammalia; Artiodactyla; Camelidae. The record is from RNAcentral.